AGGACGAACGCUGGCGGCGUGCUUAACACAUGCAAGUCGAGCGGAAAGGCCUUUCGGGGUACUCGAGCGGCGAACGGGUGAGUAACACGUGAGUAAUCUGCCCAUCGCUUCAGGAUAGCCAUCGGAAACGGUGAUUAAUACUGGAUAUGACAUUCCUUCGCAUGUUGGGGUGUGGAAAGUUUUUUCGGCGGUGGAUGUGCUCGCGGCCUAUCAGCUUGUUGGUGGGGUAAUGGCCUACCAAGGCUUUGACGGGUAGCCGGCUGAGAGGGUGACCGGCACACUGGGACUGAGACACGGCCCAGACUCCUACGGGAGCAGCAGGUGGGGAAUAUUGGACAAGUGGGCGGAAGCCUGAUCCCAGCCAACGCCGCGUGAGGAUGGACCGGCCGUUCGGGUUCGUAAACCGUUC
This 409-nucleotide ribosomal RNA is filed under the name uncultured soil bacterium. RNAcentral describes it as "bacterial SSU rRNA". It matches the Rfam family "Bacterial small subunit ribosomal RNA", at positions 26 to 435 of the family's 1533-position model. The record is from RNAcentral.